Molecule: long non-coding RNA, 1930 nt
Organism: Daphnia magna
Lineage: Eukaryota; Metazoa; Arthropoda; Branchiopoda; Diplostraca; Daphniidae
Exons: 3
Source: RefSeq, a predicted model, not a curated record
ACUGCGUUCGUCUUUCUUCCUUCUCAGUCCACCCCCUUUCCCCUACAAUCUUCUGUCUGUCCUUCUAUUUUCUCUCGAGCGGGGAUCGAUCAUUUUUCACUCUGAACCAACAACGCCGUGGGUUACACAGACAGUCGUCUGCAAGAAGUGCGCAUCUUGCCAAAGAGAAAAUGGAACACUAUAAAGAGCAGUCACAAUAAUGAUUAUUAUUAUUUUGUUUAUUUCGCCACUUUAUCGGUGUGUAUAUUUGAACUCUAUUUGCUUGCUUUUAUUCUAAUCAGCACUUGGCUGGAGUAAAUUGAAAAAAAAGGGGGAAAUUAACAGAGUAAAAUGGUAUAUAUAAUAUAAACAAAAAAAUCGGACGUCUGACGGAUGAAGUUUCGUGUUGAUGGAAUCUCCGUCACUCUCACGUCGCACGUUUAUUUUCUAUGUUUGUUUUGUUUGGUUUUUUUUUUUUUUCGCUUAUUUUUUGGUGGGGGCACUGGUUUGACACUUGCGCCUCCUACCCAAUGACGGCCGUCUCUGGCUAAUCUGGUUUCUCGUCAUCUUUUUAGAAAAUACGGGGUUAGUAUAUCCGCACAUCAAUCCCGUAAAAAAACAAAACAAAAAAGUUCUUUGGCUUUGACAAAGUCAUCGACCUACGAAUUUUUCGUAGCGGAUACAAAAAAUUCGAUCGGUGACAAUUUUUUCGUGGUUAAAACCCCCGAAAAACUUGUAACCUUUUUAACAGUGUAUAUAUAUUAUAUAAACAUAAAGUGGUUUGAGCUGUUGGUAAUCAGAUAGAUUCCAAGAGACAUGGACCAAUUCGAAACUUAAAAAGAAAUCAACAGAAGGCGAGUGCAAAGCUGAAUUCAGCUGACCUAAGCCAGUGUGAUGCUGCCAACUCUAUACUUCCGGCAAUUCAUCCACUGCUGUCGAUGAUGAUUUUCCUGAACAUGAACGUGAAGAUGAGUUAAGAAGAAAGCAUGAUUUUGACCAAAGGCGUGAGUUUUUCAAAAGUAACCACAAACUUUCUCUUGCAAAGUUAUUGGAAAAGACACCGCAUUAUCAUGAUUUUGAAAAGGAAUUAAACGCUCGUUUAACAAUUAGCCUGUGACGUUACUAAUUAGUAAGAAUUCUUUUGUUGUUACACAGGCUUACGAUGAUUUUCUAAUGAUAUAUCCCAUGAGUUGCAUAAAUGAGGACAAGUUUCAGAAGGCAUUUGAGAGUACAAUGAUUACUUUUCGACGCUUUCUGGAAAAAAAUGGUGAUAAGGGCGGGCAGAAGUGGCCUGAGGGUGCAAAAAUGGAUCUUGCAGUGAAAAAGUACUCCUUGCAGUUAACGCUUUGUGUUCAACAAGCCGCGGUGUAAAAGGGGCAAAGCCAGUUUUUGUUAUUCGUGAAGUUGGAAAAAACGUGGAUUCCGAUUACUCUGGAGUGAACUCAAGUGCCAUUGUAUUCUUUAAUGGGAAUUCUCUCCACUCCAUGCUUAUCAUUGUUGGAUCGUCCUGCAAUGUUAACUACAAGAACAUCAAUGUUUCAAAAGGUUUUCCAAGGCAGAAACCAGUCCAGAAAGACUCUAUGACUAUGGCUAGUUUUCUGAAAAAGUAUGACAAAUUUGUCUUUGAUGACGACCAAGACCAACAAGCACAGGAAUUGCCUUCUGAUGAAGAAUCGACGUAGAUUGGGAAAUUGAGAGACAUUUCUUUCUUACUUUGAUUUUUUUUUUCUUAAUGUGUUCGGGAUUUCUGCUGCUGCCGAUAAUGUCAUUUCUCAUUUGUCGUUAUUUUGUACCAUUUAUUGUUAAAUGCUCAUAUGACUCUUCGUCUAACCCAUAAUUGAAACGUUAUGUGCUCUAAUCAUAGUAACCAGGUCACAACAGUUAUACCGCCGUUUAUGUCAUGUGUUGGUUUCGUUAUUGUUAAUAAACGAAGGAAUGUCGUGUUGAUUAA